GAUGAAGAACGUAGCGAAAUGCGAUAAGUAGUGUGAAUUGCAGAAUUCAGUGAAUCAUCGAAUCUUUGAACGCACAUUGCGCCCUUUGGUAUUCCAAAGAGCAUGCCUGUUCGAGCGUCAUUUGUACCCUCAAGCUUUGCUUGGUGUUGGGCGUCUUGUCUCUAGCUUUGCUGGAGACUCGCCUUAAAGUAAUUGGCAGCCGGCCUACUGGUUUCGGAGCGCAGCACAAGUCGCACUCUCUAUCAGCAAAGGUCUAGCAUCCAUUAAGCCUUUUUUUCAACUUUUGACCUCGGAUCAGGUAGGGAUACCCGCUGAACUUAAGCAUAUCAAUAAGCGGAGGA
This 341-nucleotide unclassified non-coding RNA is filed under the name soil metagenome. Its description in RNAcentral is "partial contains 5.8S ribosomal RNA, internal transcribed spacer 2, and large subunit ribosomal RNA". The stretch from base 1 to 120 matches the Rfam family "5.8S ribosomal RNA", at positions 35 to 154 of the family's 154-position model. The record is from RNAcentral.